GGCUCAGAUUGAACGCUGGCGGCAUGCUUUACACAUGCAAGUCGAACGGCAGCGGGGGCUUCGGCCUGCCGGCGAGUGGCGAACGGGUGAGUAAUGCAUCGGAACGUGCCCAUGUCGUGGGGGGAUAACGUAGCGAAAGCUGCGCUAAUACCGCAUACGUCCUGAGGGAGAAAGCGGGGGAUCUUUGGACCUCGCGCGAUUGGAGCGGCCGAUGUCGGAUUAGCUAGUAGGUGAGGUAAAGGCUCACCUAGGCGACGAUCCGUAGCGGGUCUGAGAGGAUGAUCCGCCACACUGGGACUGAGACACGGCCCAGACUCCUACGGGAGGCAGCAGUGGGGAAUUUUGGACAAUGGGGGCAACCCUGAUCCAGCCAUGCCGCGUGAGUGAAGAAGGCCUUCGGGUUGUAAAGCUCUUUCGGCCGGGAAGAAAUCGUGGUCUCUAACAUAGGCCAUGGAUGACGGUACCGGACUAAGAAGCGCCGGCUAACUACGUG
RNAcentral lists this ribosomal RNA (493 nucleotides) under uncultured bacterium. RNAcentral's name for it is "bacterial SSU rRNA". It matches the Rfam family "Bacterial small subunit ribosomal RNA", at positions 21 to 507 of the family's 1533-position model. The record is from RNAcentral.